RNAcentral lists this ribosomal RNA (490 nucleotides) under uncultured bacterium. RNAcentral describes it as "bacterial SSU rRNA". It matches the Rfam family "Bacterial small subunit ribosomal RNA", at positions 29 to 494 of the family's 1533-position model. The record is from RNAcentral.
AACUAACGCUGGCGGCGUGCCUAACACAUGCAAGUCGUACGAGAAAGCCGGCUUCGGCUGGUGAGUAAAGUGGCGCACGGGUGAGUAACGCGUGGAUAAUCUGCCCUUAAGUGUGGAAUAACGUACCGAAAGGUGCGCUAAUACCGCAUAAUGCCUGGCAACACAAGUUGUCCGGCCAAAGAAGGCCUCUGUUUACAAGCUUUCGCUUCAGGAUGAGUCCGCGUACCAUUAGCUUGUUGGUGGGGUAAUGGCCUACCAAGGCUGCGAUGGUUAGUUGGUCUGAGAGGAUGAUCAGCCACACUGGAACUGAGACACGGUCCAGACUCCUACGGGAGGCAGCAGUGAGGAAUAUUGCGCAAUGGGGGCAACCCUGACGCAGCAACGCCGCGUGAGUGAGGAAGGUUUUCGGACUGUAAAGCUCUGUCGAGCGGGAAGAAGUGUACCAUGGCUAAUAUCCAUGAUAUUUGACGGUACCGCUAGAGGAAGCACC